RNAcentral lists this ribosomal RNA (497 nucleotides) under uncultured bacterium. RNAcentral describes it as "partial 16S ribosomal RNA". It matches the Rfam family "Bacterial small subunit ribosomal RNA", at positions 28 to 507 of the family's 1533-position model. The record is from RNAcentral.
GAUGAACGCUGGCGGCGUGCCUAAUACAUGCCAGUCGAGCGAACGGACGAGAAGCUUGCUUCUCUGAUGUUAGCGGCGGACGGGUGAGUAACACGUGGAUAACCUACCUAUAAGACUGGGAUAACUUCGGGAAACCGUAGCUAAUACCGGAUAAUAUUUUGAACCGCAUGGUUCAAAAGUGAAAGACGGUCUUGCUGUCACUUAUAGAUGGAUCCGCGCUGCAUUAGCUAGUUGGUAAGGUAACGGCUUACCAAGGCAACGAUGCAUAGCCGACCUGAGAGGGUGAUCGGCCACACUGGAACUGAGACACGGUCCAGACUCCUACGGGAGGCAGCAGUAGGGAAUCUUCCGCAAUGGGCGAAAGCCUGACGGAGCAACGCCGCGUAAGUGAUGAAGGUCUUCGGAUCGUAAAACUCUGUUAUUAGGGAAGAACAUAUGUGUAAGUAACUGUGCACAUCUUGACGGUACCUAAUCAGAAAGCCACGGCUAACUACGUG